UCUGCCCCUAGGGGCAUUGCAGGUGUGGCUGCUGUGUCCCGUGUGUGUCAGUAGGUGGGAGAGAGGAGACAGGCUAUGUCUAUGCUUGUGUUCUGAUCUAUGAACAUCUGAGUGAUUAGUAGUCUAAUAUU
Molecule: small nucleolar RNA, 131 nt
Organism: Mastomys coucha (southern multimammate mouse)
Lineage: Eukaryota; Metazoa; Chordata; Mammalia; Rodentia; Muridae
Product: small nucleolar RNA SNORA17
Exons: 1
Source: RefSeq, a predicted model, not a curated record